CCUACGGGAGGCAGCAGUGGGGAAUAUUGCACAAUGGGCGCAAGCCUGAUGCAGCCAUGCCGCGUGUGUGAAGAAGGCCUUCGGGUUGUAAAGCACUUUCAGCGGGGAGGAAGGCGGUGAGGUUAAUAACCUCAUCGAUUGCCGUUACCCGCAGAAGAAGCACCGGCUAACUCCGUGCCAGCAGCCGCGGUAAUACGGAGGGUGCAAGCGUUAAUCGGAAUUACUGGGCGUAAAGCGCACGCAGGCGGUCUGUCAAGUCGGAUGUGAAAUCCCCGGGCUCAACCUGGGAACUGCAUUCGAAACUGGCAGGCUAGAGUCUUGUAGAGGGGGGUAGAAUUCCAGGUGUAGCGGUGAAAUGCGUAGAGAUCUGGAGGAAUACCGGUGGCGAAGGCGGCCCCCUGGACAAAGACUGACGCUCAGGUGCGAAAGCGUGGGGAGCAAACAGGAUUAGAUACCCCGGUAGUC
This 465-nucleotide ribosomal RNA is filed under the name uncultured Klebsiella sp. RNAcentral describes it as "bacterial SSU rRNA". It matches the Rfam family "Bacterial small subunit ribosomal RNA", at positions 338 to 795 of the family's 1533-position model. The record is from RNAcentral. Lineage: Bacteria; Pseudomonadati; Pseudomonadota; Gammaproteobacteria; Enterobacterales; Enterobacteriaceae.